GUGAUGGGUCGCCCCACCGCGGCGUGGAACGCAAGAACCGCGACGAGGAAAGUCCGGGCAACGCAGAGCACCCUGCUUCCUAACGGGAAGGACUGGCAAGCGUAAUGCGAACCAGGACAGCCAGUGCCACAGAAAAUACCGCCUACGUUGCCUUCGGGCAGCCGGUAAGGGUGAAAAGGUGCGGUAAGAGCGCACCAGCGGCUGGGUGACCAGUCCGGCUGGGUAAACCUCAGGGGUUGAAAGACCAAAUAAGCCAGUACGUCGGCCCCGCUUCCAGGGGACGGCACCGGGCGGCUCGUCCGGCGCUGGCGGGUAGGUUGAUGGAGCCUUUCGGCAACGACUGGCCUAGAUAAAUGGUGGGGCCGCCUGCUCUCGGGCAGGCGGACAAAACCCGGCUUACAGACCCAUCACCCCC
This is a non-coding RNA of Hymenobacter sp., 415 nucleotides long. Lineage: Bacteria; Pseudomonadati; Bacteroidota; Cytophagia; Cytophagales; Hymenobacteraceae. The record is from Rfam.